Molecule: ribosomal RNA, 527 nt
Filed under: uncultured bacterium
Lineage: Bacteria
Description: partial 16S ribosomal RNA
Rfam family: Bacterial small subunit ribosomal RNA
Source: RNAcentral
UGGGGAAUAUUGCACAAUGGGCGAAAGCCUGAUGCAGCAACGCCGCGUGAGUGAUGAAGGUCUUCGGAUUGUAAAGCCCUGUCUUUUGGGACGAUAAUGACGGUACCAAAGGAGGAAGCCACGGCUAACUACGUGCCAGCAGCCGCGGUAAUACGUAGGUGGCGAGCGUUGUCCGGAUUUACUGGGCGUAAAGGGUGCGUAGGCGGAUGUUUAAGUGAGAUGUGAAAUACCCGGGCUUAACUUGGGUGCUGCAUUUCAAACUGGAUAUCUAGAGUGCAGGAGAGGAGAAUGGAAUUCCUAGUGUAGCGGUGAAAUGCGUAGAGAUUAGGAAGAACACCAGUGGCGAAGGCGAUUCUCUGGACUGUAACUGACGCUGAGGCACGAAAGCGUGGGUAGCAAACAGGAUUAGAUACCCUGGUAGUCCACGCCGUAAACGAUGAGUACUAGGUGUAGGAGGUAUCGACCCCUUCUGUGCCGCAGUAAACACAUUAAGUACUCCGCCUGGGAAGUACGAUCGCAAGAUUAAA